RNAcentral lists this unclassified non-coding RNA (216 nucleotides) under Hevea brasiliensis (rubber tree). Lineage: Eukaryota; Viridiplantae; Streptophyta; Magnoliopsida; Malpighiales; Euphorbiaceae. The record is from RNAcentral.
AAGAGGAGGAACCAGUAAAUAUGGAAGAGUUGGUUUUGACUUCUUCGUCUGGUACUUGGGUCUUUUUGUUGAUACACCUUCUUUGUCCACUGUUGGGAUGGUAAUACCAGCAUUAGCAAGUAUUUGAUUCCUCAUAGCCUCUAAACGUCGUUGUUCCUCCUUCUGCUUUCCUGUUAAGAGUUUGCCCUCUUCGUCUGGUACUUGGGUCUUUUUGUU